UGAAGCGUUUCUCAGCACUAAUGCACCGGAUCCCAUCAGAACUACACAGUUAAGCGUUAUUGGGCAAGAGUAGUACUAGGAUGGGCGAUCUCUUGGGAAGUCCUCAUGUUGCACCUA
Molecule: ribosomal RNA, 117 nt
Filed under: Lupinus angustifolius (narrow-leaved blue lupine)
Lineage: Eukaryota; Viridiplantae; Streptophyta; Magnoliopsida; Fabales; Fabaceae
Source: RNAcentral